CCUACGGGAGGCAGCAGUGGGGAAUAUUGCACAAUGGGGGAAACCCUGAUGCAGCGACGCCGCGUGAGUGAAGAAGUAUUUCGGUACGUAAAGCUCUAUCAGCAGGGAAGAAAAUGACGGUACCUGACUAAGAAGCCCCGGCUAACUACGUGCCAGCAGCCGCGGUAAUACGGAGGGGGCAAGCGUUAUCCGGAUUUACUGGGGGUAAAGGGAGCGUAGACGGCAGUGCAAGUCUGGAGUGAAAUCCCAUGGCUUAACCAUGGAACGGCAGUGGAAACUGAGCAGCUAGAGUGCAGGAGAGGUAAGCGGAAUUCCAAGUGUAGCGGUGAAAUGCGUAGAUAUUAGGAGGAACACCAGUGGCGAAGGCGGCUUACUGGACUGUAACUGACGUUGAGGCUCGAAAGCGUGGGGAGCAAACAGGAUUAGAUACCCUAGUAGUC
This 440-nucleotide ribosomal RNA is filed under the name uncultured bacterium. RNAcentral describes it as "partial 16S ribosomal RNA". It matches the Rfam family "Bacterial small subunit ribosomal RNA", at positions 338 to 795 of the family's 1533-position model. The record is from RNAcentral.